GACUACCCGGCAGAAGGGACGUCCCCAAAUGACACUCGGAGGUGCCGGGUACUCGGCAAAUGGUACUCGGUGCCAAAUGGUACUCGGUGCCGGGAGGAGCGGCGCGGCUUUCUAACCCGCCUCAGGUGCGCCAGCACGUUUUCUGGGCAGCAUCUGUGUGUUAGGCGACCGGAGAGGUGGGUUCCUUAUAGGGAAUAAGAAAACUGAAACUGACUUCCAACUGCAGGCAGAAGGAAGCAGUGGUCAUUGCUGGAGGUUAAAACUGUUCUGACGGGGCGCGGUGGCUCACGCCUGUAAUCCCAGCACUUUGGGAGGCGGAGGCGAGCGGAUCACGAGGUCAGGAGAUCAAGACCAUCCUGGCCAACAAGGUGAAACCCCGUCUCUACUAAAAAUACAAAAAUUAGCUGGGCGUGGUGGCGCGCGCCGGAAGUCACAGCUACUUGGGAGGAUGAGGCAGAAGAAUCGCUUGAACCCGGGAGGCGGAGGUUGCAGUGAGCCGAGAUCGCGCCAUUGCACUCCAGCCUGGCGACUCAGGGAUACUCCGUCCCCCUCCCCCCGCCGCAAGAAAAACCUGUUCAAUGGGGAGCGACAAGGAAGGAGCUUUCAGCCCGACUGGUGUCGCAGGGAAGAAUUCAAGAUGGCGUGUUUAGAAACUAGACCUUGACAAAUUAGUAAAAUGUUAGUCUUAGGAGAAGAACGAAAAGGCUCUCCUAGGCUAAGAAACAGCAUACACAGUGAGAAACCUCAGAAGAAAUAAAAUUCAAGGAAGAUAGCAACAACGAAAACAUCAGAAGGAACCCUAAAGUAGUCAAAUCAGCUUAGCAGAAACAAACUAAGUAUGUUAACCAAUGGAAAACUGAAGGAGAGAAAUAAACUGUUUUUGCACAGCUAAAUGGAAAUGACUUUUGAAUUAUCUGCUUUGGAAGAUUAUCCAUGACACUGUUCUGCCCUGCUCUGCUCUAACAACAUUUGUAAGUCACUCAACAGUUAAUAAUAAAAGUCAGUUUUGAAUAUUGCAUGUUUUAGACACAGAACAAAUGUAAUGUGACACUGUAGGAAGAAUGAAUUCUCCUUAGUUCCAAAUUCCUUUUUUUUUCUUAGAUUCAGGAAUAAGUAGGUAAAGAUACAAGAUUCUCUUAACCAGUAUCAGUAUAAUUGUUCCCUUUAGAUUUAUUGCUGUCACCCCAAUGCUCUUCUUUCUUUCUAGAGGGAAGGAAAAGAAGGAGGUAAUAGGAAAAGUAAUGGGUUGUCCUGAUGUUACUGUGUCUAGGGUGUCAUUGCCACUGGUCUCCUCAGAUCAAUCAUUCUGCCUAAUAAACAGAAAAAUAACAUGGGCAGCCUCACGUGCAAGCUUUUACACACACUGCUAAAGAGAUCUCGCUUCCUCUGAGAAGUGAGGAUAUGAGAAUGAGGGAAGAGUAUAUUGAUUUUACAGAACUGGGUGACAGGUUAAAUUGGGCAUCUGGAGGUUUAUAUUCCCAUCUCCACUCACCAAGUUUCAUCCUCCAUUUAUGACCAAGGAUAGGUAUAACAUCUGAUCUUGAUGGUUACUGUUUCAAAAAACAAUCUGAUCUUUUUUAUAAAGUUAAACAUUUACUUAAU
Molecule: non-coding RNA, 1602 nt
Filed under: Pongo abelii (Sumatran orangutan)
Lineage: Eukaryota; Metazoa; Chordata; Mammalia; Primates; Hominidae
Source: RNAcentral